CCCUUAGAUGUUCUGGGCCGCACGCGCGCUACACUGAUGCAUUCAACGAGCACCCGCUGGGCCGAGAGGUCCGGCUAAUCUUUGAACGUGCAUCGUGCUGGGGAUAGAUGAUUGCAAUUAUUCAUCUUCAACGAGGAAUUCCUAGUAAACGCAAGUCAUCAGCUUGCAUUGAUUACGUCCCUGCCCUUUGUACACACCGCCCGUCGCACCUACCGAUUGAAUGGUCCGGUGAAAUCUCGGGACGGCGGCUUGGUCGCUUGCGUCCGACUGCUGAAACUUGAUUAAACCAUAUCAUUUAGAGGAAGGUGAAGUCGUANCA
RNAcentral lists this ribosomal RNA (319 nucleotides) under uncultured eukaryote. RNAcentral's name for it is "partial 18S ribosomal RNA". It matches the Rfam family "Eukaryotic small subunit ribosomal RNA", at positions 1470 to 1796 of the family's 1831-position model. The record is from RNAcentral.